AUGGAGAACAAAGACAGUAGGAUGACAACUGAAUGGAACUCAACAAUGGAAAACAGAACGCAAUCAGAUAGCAAACAAACAAGAACUGACAUGAAAACCCAAAAAGAAACUAUAAAAAGACAAAGGCAACUGAUAUGUCAAGUAAUGGAGGAGAUCGAACAACUCUGGAGACAGACAGAAAGAAAAAGAAAUGAAAUUGACUUCUUAAAGACAAAGACAGAGGGGCAACAGGAAAACACUGAGAGACUGACAUCUGAAAAAAACAAACAGCACCUACUAUUAAAGCAAUUUAACUUCCAAAUAAAAAAUAUAACUGAGAAACUCAAAGAAAGCAAAAAUUCAGUUGCUAACGAAAAAACAAACCUUCUGAAAAUGUGGACUAAAAUAUACCAAGAGAAGGAUACUCUGGACAGAAGACGUCAUUACUUCAUCAAUGAGCGACACAGGCUAGACAGUAUAAAAGCUAGUAAGACAGAAUCACCAAUAAGGGAGGAACCCAAAGAGCUCCUUAAGCAGGUAAAGCAGGAACUGGAUAUACUGGAGAAUGCAACUGAGAAAAACAGGGAAAUAAUGGUUGAAGUAAAGAAAGUUAAAGAAAAAAUGGAGAAAACUAAAGCAAACAUACAGCAAGCAUUAAAAAGAAAUAAAGAGGACAUUUCAAAAAACAGUGAACAAAUUAACCACAUUAAACAUAUUAUGUAUGUAAAGAUCAACAUGGUCAAGCACAGAUGGGCAAGCAUUAUAAAACAGGCUGAAAUGAAGAAAAUUCACAUGUAUAAAGAAGGACAGAGAGAAAGAAAAGAUGGAAAAGCCACAUUUGACACAGUGAAGAGAAAAAUGUGUAGAAUCCAGGAAGAGAUGGAGAAACUUUGGGAUGUGCUGGAAGACAGUGAACAACAACUGGAAGUGACUCAAAGUGCAAAGCAGCAGCUAAUGGCAGAGAACAAUCCCGUGAACAUCAAGAUGAAUAUUAAUUAUCCAAAGCAACAAGCUUCAGAUCUAAGCUUGAAAGUGACACACAUCCAGUCUGAAAGAGAUGACUUAAAGAGAGUUAAAAUGAAACUAAAGACAGGAAGGGAAAAUGUAGAAAAAGACAAGCCAAAUACUUACAUGCAGAAUUUGAUCUCUGAGGAAGAAGAAAACAAUGAGGUGCUUUGUAUCAAGAGUGAAGAAACAAAGCAGAGCACGAGGGACUUUACAGAAGUAAAGGCUCAAACCAAAUGGACAAAUUUUCGAGAAAAGCAAAAAAGAAGGGAGCUUGAGCAUCUGCUCGAGAAGAUAAUGAAAGAGAGGGAUGAGUUAGAAAUCAUGAAGAGAAAAAUACAGCGACAAAAGGAAGGGGUUGAACAAAAACUGGAAAAUACUGUCACUGAGAUGAAAGGUAAAAUAGAAAAAACUGGUGCAGAAAUUAACAACACUUGGGAGAAAAUGCGGAGAACCCAAAGGGAGAUGAGUAAGAACGAGGAAGAAGCCAAGAACUAUAUGGAAAACCUAACAACCAUGAAAGCUUGGGUCAACAAAUGGAUAUCGACACAAUCUACAAUCAAAUAUACUUUUUCGGUGAAUGCAUCCAAACUUCAAGAAUCACAGAAAGAAAUAGACACAGACUCCCUCGAGGAUCAAACAUCAGCAAUUCCAAAGGACAAAAGGGGGACAGAAAAUAUAACAGAUACAACAUCAUUACAAAAUUCUGUAACAUUAGAUGAUCAGCAUCAAAAUAAAAAAAUUAAAGAACAACAGAAGGAGCAUUUUGAAUCCAAACAUUGUUUUGCAGAAGGCAAAAAUGGGGAGCAGGACUUUUGCUUACAGAUGCGAACUGAAAUUCAUGAAGAAGCAGUGCAUGAUAAAACUGAAUUACUGAUAAUUGUAAGAGAAAGGGAAGAAGUGGAAAAACUGAUAUGUAACCUAAAGCAGCAAGAGGGGGAAAUAAAGGAGCAAAUAAAGUACACUGUUGAUAACAUGAAAGAAAAAACUCAAGACAUCAAAAGGCUCAUUUUGGAAAUGAAUGACCUGCAGAGGGCAGACACUGUAAUUACAGUCGGCGAAACUGAAAAUGCCCAGGAAGUAUUAACUAAGCUGUUGGAAGAAACUGAACAGAGAAAGAUUUUGAUGGUGAACACCAAAGUUUUCAAAAAUGAAAUAAUGAAAUAUGAAGUACAAGAGGAGGACGAUGCCAAAAAAAUAAAACAAGAGUCUAGCUUGAUAAGACUUGAUAUUAACAAGCAAAAACAAAUUCAGAAAUCAGGAGAAGAGAUGAAAAAAUAUGUUGAACACACAGAUGAAAAUAAAAAGGACAGAGGAGCCGAUGUACAAAGACUCAGGGCAGAGAUUUACAAAACACAAGAGAUUAUAAGAACGCUAAGAGGAGGACUUGAGAACCUAGCGGAAAAAAGUAACAUGGACAAAGAUCAAAAGAAUGAAGGCAGUGAAAUUGAAGGAUUGCUAAAAGACAUCAAACAGUUUCAAGAGUUUUUGGAAAUUGUAAAAGCCACAAUAAAGCAAAGUGAAGUAUAUAUGACAGAAGAAAUGAGCAAUAUGAAAUCAAUUAAAACUGCAGUGAAAAAGAAGAGAAGAGAAUUAGAUCAAAGGUUAGAAAAUACUUCAAAAGAGAGAGACAGAUUAGACAUCUUUAAAAUAAAAAUGCAGAGGCAAACUGAACUGAUUCGGCAGAAUUUAGAAAAAAUGGCAAAAGUUAAGAGCACAAUCGAGAAAAUAGCCACUCAGACCAGAAGGAAAAUUGAAGAGAUAGAAAUUAGUAUGAAGGAGACUGAAAUAAAACUAAGACAGUUUAAAGACCUUGACUACAUUAACCUUAACUUAACAAAAGGCGCAAAACCAGACAUGGAACAUGGUACUACACCUAAGCAAAGAACUGCUCUUGAAAUUUUCAAGACUGAAAUUAGAAAGACAAUGGACAAUAAAAGAGAUAAACUGACAAAAACCAAAAUGGACAAAGAAACUGAGGGAACAGAAAUCCUCAAACAAGUUAAAGAGAAACUGGAUGAUGUAAGACUUUCAUUAGACAGUCUGGGUCAUAAAAAAAAAAAAUCAGUUAGUGAGACUGUGAAACAAAUAAUUAAGAGAGAAGAGACUGAGGUGACAGAACAGAUCCAAACAGCGAUAAAGAAUGAGAAAAUAGUUAAACAACUAACUGAAACAGAAAUACAGGAUGAACAGAUGAACCAUUUGAGGGAGAAAACUGAAAGACACAAACAGGAGCUUGAUGACAGAGUACACAUGACAAAAAGGCAAAUAAGAGAAAUGGAGCUGCUACAAUCAGAAUUGAAAAUAAAGACAAAAGAACUGGAGCGUUUAUUUAGAAAAACCAUGAGAAAAAAGGAGGAAAUUGAAAUAAUGUGGAAUGAAAUACAACGAGAAAAGGAAGCAUUGAGGACCGAGAUCAAAAAGAAAAGAAGAGAAUUAGACCAAAGACUGGAGAUAACUCUGAGAAAAAGGGAUGAACUAGAAAUGUUAAGGGUAAAAUUGAAACGACAGAUGGAAGAGCUGGCUGAGGAGAAGCAGAGAGACCAUAAUCUGUUCAUCCAUCUACCCAAUGAACAUGAAAAACAUUGGGAAAGCAAAGAUGUGAAAAUGUUCAUGGAGAAACUUAAAAACCACAGCUCAAAAGUUUCUCAUUAUAUUAUUUACAUCCAAAACAUAAGAGACAGGGUUAAUUUACACAUGGGAACAAUUAGGACAGAGAUGAAAAUUCUAGAAAAUGUGAAUGCUCAUUUAGAAAAGGACAGGAAGGGAUUCAGAGAAGUUGAGGCUGAAAAUAAGAAUAUAACAAACAAAAUGAGGAGAUUAAAAUAUCAGCUUAAUUUAAUCUUUGGAAGAGUUACCAUACAAGACACUGCAGAGAUGGAUGAAACAAUCAACAUGUGGGAAAAAAUCCAAAGACAAAAACAGAGGCUUGAUAUGAGACUAGAAAGUAUUAAAAGGGAAAGACAAGAGAUCGAAGCUCUGGUGGUUGAGCUGGAGAUGAAGAAAAGAGAAAACCAACGUGUAAUCAAAAGAAGCAUUCAAAAAGAACAGAAGAUAAAAAGAAUAUGGGUUACUUUCAAAGAAGAAAGAACUGCCCUCGUGAGAGAAACAAAGCAGAAAAAGGAGCUUGAACAACGACGAGCGGAGAUCAUCAAACAUCAAGGUAAACAAGAAAAAAAGCAGAAGUUGCAAAAAGGAAAGAAAGGGAUGAAAAGUGAAAUUGAAGACAUGAGGAUGACAGAAAAAAGGAAGCAAAUUAAAAAGCAUUGGGAACUAAUCAACAAAUACUUAGGGGAAUAUAACAAGGUAAUUAAAAACACUCAAAUCAUCAUUGGAAUAAUUCAGAAUGAAAAUAAGCACAUGCAAGACCAAAAGAAUUUCUACAUGACCAGAAGAAAAGAAGUACUGAAUAUGAAAAGCGAGUUAGAUAGGCAAAAGGAAAUUAUACGGUGCGCAUUAAAAAACAUAAAACAAGAGCGAAAACAUGGGGAACAAGUGGAGACAAAAAUCAAGACAGAGCAAGAAAAAAAUGAAAACGGAUGGAAAAAACAAUUUCAGAUAGAAAAAGAUGCCAUUGAUGACUUGAGUGCAGACAAGAGUCAAGACAAAGAAGAUGUUAAAAGAAUGACUGAGAUGUUGAAGAAGAACCAGAAACUUGAAAUGAGAGGCUGUAAAGUCAAAAAAGAAAUUGACAUAUUAAAACAAAAAAAGGAAGACAUAAAAGAGGAAAAGAAAACCAGUGAAAUAAAAGAAACGGGAAAAAAAAUAACGCUUAAGGAUGGUAUGAAAAGGGUUGUAUUACAAGACACAAAACAAGACUUCAUAAAAAAAGAGAUCAAAAAACGAAACCAGGGAAAACAAAAAGUCAACCAGAUGAGAACUAGACGUGACAAUAGAAAAGAACUGUUGUUGAAGGAAAGGAGAAAUAUCAUAGAUGAGCAGAAAGAGAUGGAAAUGAGAGGACACCAAGUCAUGACAGAAAUGAAAUCAAUAGAGAUUCUGAAAGUGAAACUUCAACAACUGAAAGAGGAUAUAAAAGCUAAAACGGACAGAUUACUACAAAAUGUUGACAACAGGUCCAUGCUGCAAACAGUGUUGGAAGAAAAACUUACAACUCAAGACAAACAGAAAGAAAACAUUUGCUAUUUCACUGAAAUGUUAGAGAGGGAAAGGGAAGGUGUGAGAACUAUCCUUUCAGAAAUGAUCACCAAGAGAGAAUGCACAGAAAAAGAAUGGAAGCAGCAGUUUGAACUGGACAAACGAGAUCUUGAUAAACUGAAAGAAGAUCUGAGACAAGACAGAGAAGAUCUGGAGAGAGAAAGUGAGGUGCUGAAUAAAGAGAAAAUGGAUUUGAAGCUGUUGAUGUCUGACAUGAAGAAACAAUUUGAAAUAUUGGAAGAAAAGAGACAAAAUGUAAAAGAAGAGAGAGACUCAAUGGAAAUCAUGAAGCUUGAACUGCUCAAUAAGAUGGAACAUGUAAAAAGGCUGUUAAAUGAGGCAAAUAAAGAAAAAGCCAAUAUUAAAGUUUGUAUCCUUCAGGUUCAAACGGAAAAAGAAAGACUUGAAGACAUUUUAAGCAAGAUUUUCUUAACACAUAGUGAACAAAAAGUCAAGGAAGAUGACCUCAGAAGACAAACAAAAGAACUGGAAAUGAAGAAGAAGCAAUUACAGAGUGAAAGAGAAAAAGUGGAGAGUCUGAUGAGGAAUCUCAACAAGAAGCAAGAAGAGCUUGAACGUGCAAAGGAAAUCAUGAGUGAAGAAAAAGAAGAGGUGAAACAGAUGAAGACUGACAUUGCCAAAGAACGAGAACUGUUGUUGAAGGAAAGGAGAAAUAUGGAAGAAGAGCGGUCUGAGAUGGAAAUGAGAGGAGACCAAGUCAUGGAUGAAAUGAAAUCAAUAGAGAUUCUGAAAGUGAAACUUCAACAACUGAAAGAGGAUAUAAAAGCUAAAACGGACAGAUUACUACAAAAUGUUGACAACAGGUCCAUGCUGCAAACAGUGUUGGAAGAAAAACUUACAACUCAAGACAAACAGAAAGAAAACAUUUGCUAUUUCACUGAAAUGUUAGAGACGGAAAGGGAAGGUGUGAGAACUAUCCUUUCAGACAUGAUCACCAAGAGAGAAUGCACAGAAAAAGAAUGGAAGCAGCAGUUUGAACUGGACAAACGAGAUCUUGAUAAACUGAAAGAAGAUCUGAGACAAGACAGAGAAGAUCUGGAGAGAGAAAGUGAGGUGCUGAAUAAAGAGAAAAUGGAUUUGGAGCUGUUGAUGUCUGACAUGAAGAAACAAUUUGAAAUAUUGGAAGAAAAGAGACAAAAUGUAAAAGAAGAGAGAGACUCAAUGGAAAUCAUGAAGCUUGAACUGCUCAAUAAGAUGGAACAUGUAAAAAGGCUGUUAAAUGAGGCAAAUAAAGAAAAAGCCAAUAUUAAAGUUUGUAUCCUUCAGGUUCAAACGGAAAAAGAAAGACUUGAAGACAUUUUAAGCAAGAUUUUCUUAACACAUAGUGAACAAAAAGUCAAGGAAGAUGACCUCAGAAGACAAACAAAAGAACUGGAAAUGAAGAAGAAGCAAUUACAGAGUGAAAGAGAAAAAGUGGAGAGUCUGAUGAGGAAUCUCAACAAGAAGCAAGAAGAGCUUGAACGUGCAAAGGAAAUCAUGAGUGAAGAAAAAGAAGAGGUGAAACAGAUGAAGACUGACAUUGCCAAAGAACGAGAACUGUUGUUGAAGGAAAGGAGAAAUAUGGAAGAAGAGCGGUCUGAGAUGGAAAUGAGAGGAGACCAAGUCAUGGAUGAAAUGAAAUCAAUAGAGAUUCUGAAAGUGAAACUUCAACAACUGAAAGAGGAUAUAAAAGCUAAAAUGGACAGAUUACUACAAAAUGUUGACAACAGGUCCAUGCUGCAAACAGUGUUGGAAGAAAAACUUACAACUCAAGACAAACAGAAAGAAAACAUUUGCUAUUUCACUGAAAUGUUAGAGACGGAAAGGGAAGGUGUGAGAACUAUCCUUUCAGACAUGAUCACCAAGAGAGAAUGCACAGAAAAAGAAUGGAAGCAGCAGUUUGAACUGGACAAACGAGAUCUUGAUAAACUGAAAGAAGAUCUGAGACAAGACAGAGAAGAUCUGGAGAGAGAAAGUGAGGUGCUGAAUAAAGAGAAAAUGGAUUUGAAGCUGUUGAUGUCUGACAUGAAGAAACAAUUUGAAAUAUUGGAAGAAAAGAGACAAAAUGUAAAAGAAGAGAGAGACUCAAUGGAAAUCAUGAAGCUUGAACUGCUCAAUAAGAUGGAACAUGUAAAAAGGCUGUUAAAUGAGGCAAAUAAAGAAAAAGCCAAUAUUAAAGAUUGUAUCCUUCAGGUUCAAACGGAAAAAGAAAGACUUGAAGACAUUUUAAGCAAGAUUUUCUUAACACAUAGUGAACAAAAAGUCAAGGAAGAUGACCUCAGAAGACAAACAAAAGAACUGGAAAUGAAGAAGAAGCAAUUACAGAGUGAAAGAGAAAAAGUGGAGAGUCUGAUGAGGAAUCUCAACAAGAAGCAAGAAGAGCUUGAACGUGCAAAGGAAAUCAUGAGUGAAGAAAAAGAAGAGGUGAAACAGAUGAAGACUGACAUUGCCAAAGAACGAGAACUGUUGUUGAAGGAAAGGAGAAAUAUGGAAGAAGAGCGGUCUGAGAUGGAAAUGAGAGGAGACCAAGUCAUGGAUGAAAUGAAAUCAAUAGAGAUUCUGAAAGUGAAACUUCAACAACUGAAAGAGGAUAUAAAAGCUAAAACGGACAGAUUACUACAAAAUGUUGACAACAGGUUCAUGCUGCAAACAGUGUUGGAAGAAAAACUUACAACUCAAGACAAACAGAAAGAAAACAUUUGCUAUUUCACUGAAAUGUUAGAGAGGGAAAGGGAAGGUGUGAGAACUAUCCUUUCAGACAUGAUCACCAAGAGAGAAUGCACAGAAAAAGAAUGGAAGCAGCAGUUUGAACUGGACAAACGAGAUCUUGAUAAACUGAAAGAAGAUCUGAGACAAGACAGAGAAGAUCUGGAGAGAGAAAGUGAGGUGCUGAAUAAAGAGAAAAUGGAUUUGAAGCUGUUGAUGUCUGACAUGAAGAAACAAUUUGAAAUAUUGGAAGAAAAGAGACAAAAUGUAAAAGAAGAGAGAGACUCAAUGGAAAUCAUGAAGCUUGAACUGCUCAAUAAGAUGGAACAUGUAAAAAGGCUGUUAAAUGAGGCAAAUAAAGAAAAAGCCAAUAUUAAAGUUUGUAUCCUUCAGGUUCAAACGGAAAAAGAAAGACUUGAAGACAUUUUAAGCAAGAUUUUCUUAACACAUAGUGAACAAAAAGUCAAGGAAGAUGACCUCAGAAGACAAACAAAAGAACUGGAAAUGAAGAAGAAGCAAUUACAGAGUGAAAGAGAAAAAGUGGAGAGUCUGAUGAGGAAUCUCAACAAGAAGCAAGAAGAGCUUGAACGUGCAAAGGAAAUCAUGAGUGAAGAAAAAGAAGAGGUGAAACAGAUGAAGACUGACAUUGCCAAAGAACGAGAACUGUUGUUGAAGGAAAGGAGAAAUAUGGAAGAAGAGCGGUCUGAGAUGGAAAUGAGAGGAGACCAAGUCAUGGAUGAAAUGAAAUCAAUAGAGAUUCUGAAAGUGAAACUUCAACAACUGAAAGAGGAUAUAAAAGCUAAAACGGACAGAUUACUACAAAAUGUUGACAACAGGUCCAUGCUGCAAACAGUGUUGGAAGAAAAACUUACAACUCAAGACAAACAGAAAGAAAACAUUUGCUAUUUCACUGAAAUGUUAGAGACGGAAAGGGAAGGUGUGAGAACUAUCCUUUCAGACAUGAUCACCAAGAGAGAAUGCACAGAAAAAGAAUGGAAGCAGCAGUUUGAACUGGACAAACGAGAUCUUGAUAAACUGAAAGAAGAUCUGAGACAAGACAGAGAAGAUCUGGAGAGAGAAAGUGAGGUGCUGAAUAAAGAGAAAAUGGAUUUGGAGCUGUUGAUGUCUGACAUGAAGAAACAAUUUGAAAUAUUGGAAGAAAAGAGACAAAAUGUAAAAGAAGAUCUGAGUCAAGACAGAGAAGAUCUGGAGAGAGAAAGGGAAGGUGUGAGAACUAUCCUUUCAGACAUGAUCACCAAGAGAGAAUGCACAGAAAAAGAAUGGAAGCAGCAGUUUGAACUGGACAAACGAGAUCUUGAUAAACUGAAAGAAGAUCUGAGACAAGACAGAGAAGAUCUGGAGAGAGAAAGUGAGGUGCUGAAUAAAGAGAAAAUGGAUUUGAAGCUGUUGAUGUCUGACAUGAAGAAACAAUUUGAAAUAUUGGAAGAAAAGAGACAAAAUGUAAAGAAGAGAGAGACUCAAUGGAAAUCAUGAAGCUUGAACUGCUCAAUAAGAUGGAACAUGUAAAAAGGCUGUUAAAUGAGGCAAAUAAAGAAAAAGCCAUCCUUCAGGUUCAAACGGAAAAAGAAAGACUUGAAGACAUUUUAAGCAAGAUUUUCUUAACACAUAGUGAACAAAAAGUCAAGGAAGAUGACCUCAGAAGACAAACAAAAGAACUGGAAAUGAAGAAGAAGCAAUUACAGAGUGAAAGAGAAAAAGUGGAGAGUCUGAUGAGGAAUCUCAACAAGAAGCAAGAAGAGCUUGAACGUGCAAAGGAAAUCAUGAGUGAAGAAAAAGAAGAGGUGAAACAGAUGAAGACUGACAUUGCCAAAGAACGAGAACUGUUGUUGAAGGAAAGGAGAAAUAUGGAAGAAGAGCGGUCUGAGAUGGAAAUGAGAGGAGACCAAGUCAUGGAUGAAAUGAAAUCACUAGAGAUUCUGAAAGUGAAACUUCAACAACUGAAGCAGCAUAUAAAAGCUAAAACGGACAGAUUACUACAAAAUGUUGACAACAGGUCCAUGCUGCAAACAGUGUUGGAAGAAAAACUUACAACUCAAGACAAACAGAAAGAAAACAUUUGCUAUUUCACUGAAAUGUUAGAGAGGGAAAGGGAAGGUGUGAGAACUAUCCUUUCAGACAUGAUCACCAAGAGAGAAUGCACAGAAAAAGAAUGGAAGCAGCAGUUUGAACUGGACAAACGAGAUCUUGAUAAACUGAAAGAAGAUCUGAGACAAGACAGAGAAGAUCUGGAGAGAGAAAGUGAGGUGCUGAAUAAAGAGAAAAUGGAUUUGAAGCUGUUGAUGUCUGACAUGAAGAAACAAUUUGAAAUAUUGGAAGAAAAGAGACAAAAUGUAAAGAAGAGAGAGACUCAAUGGAAAUCAUGAAGCUUGAACUGCUCAAUAAGAUGGAACAUGUAAAAAGGCUGUUAAAUGAGGCAAAUAAAGAAAAAGCCAAUAUUAAAGUUUGUAUCCUUCAGGUUCAAACGGAAAAAGAAAGACUUGAAGACAUUUUAAGCAAGAUUUUCUUAACACAUAGUGAACAAAAAGUCAAGGAAGAUGACCUCAGAAGACAAACAAAAGAACUGGAAAUGAAGAAGAAGCAAUUACAGAGUGAAAGAGAAAAAGUGGAGAGUCUGAUGAGGAAUCUCAACAAGAAGCAAGAAGAGCUUGAACGUGCAAAGGAAAUCAUGAGUGAAGAAAAAGAAGAGGUGAAACAGAUGAAGACUGACAUUGCCAAAGAACGAGAACUGUUGUUGAAGGAAAGGAGAAAUAUGGAAGAAGAGCGGUCUGAGAUGGAAAUGAGAGGAGACCAAGUCAUGGAUGAAAUGAAAUCACUAGAGAUUCUGAAAGUGAAACUUCAACAACUGAAGCAGCAUAUAAAAGCUAAAACGGACAGAUUACUACAAAAUGUUGACAACAGGUCCAUGCUGCAAACAGUGUUGGAAGAAAAACUUACAACUCAAGACAAACAGAAAGAAAACAUUUGCUAUUUCACUGAAAUGUUAGAGAGUAAAGGAAGGUGUGAGAACUAUCCUUUCAGACAUGAUCACCAAGAGAGAAUGCACAGAAAAAGAAUGGAAGCAGCAGUUUGAACUGGACAAACGAGAUCUUGAUAAACUGAAAGAAGAUCUGAGACAAGACAGAGAAGAUCUGGAGAGAGAAAGUGAGGUGCUGAAUAAAGAGAAAAUGGAUUUGAAGCUGUUGAUGUCUGACAUGAAGAAACAAUUUGAAAUAUUGGAAGAAAAGAGACAAAAUGUAAAAGAAGAGAGAGACUCAAUGGAAAUCAUGAAGCUUGAACUGCUCAAUAAGAUGGAACAUGUAAAAAGGCUGUUAAAUGAGGCAAAUAAAGAAAAAGCCAAUAUUAAAGUUUGUAUCCUUCAGGUUCAAACGGAAAAAGAAAGACUUGAAGACAUUUUAAGCAAGAUUUUCUUAACACAUAGUGAACAAAAAGUCAAGGAAGAUGACCUCAGAAGACAAACAAAAGAACUGGAAAUGAAGAAGAAGCAAUUACAGAGUGAAAGAGAAAAAGUGGAGAGUCUGAUGAGGAAUCUCAACAAGAAGCAAGAAGAGCUUGAACGUGCAAAGGAAAUCAUGAGUGAAGAAAAAGAAGAGGUGAAACAGAUGAAGACUGACAUUGCCAAAGAACGAGAACUGUUGUUGAAGGAAAGGAGAAAUAUGGAAGAAGAGCGGUCUGAGAUGGAAAUGAGAGGAGACCAAGUCAUGGAUGAAAUGAAAUCACUAGAGAUUCUGAAAGUGAAACUUCAACAACUGAAGCAGCAUAUAAAAGCUAAAACGGACAGAUUACUACAAAAUGUUGACAACAGGUCCAUGCUGCAAACAGUGUUGGAAGAAAAACUUACAACUCAAGACAAACAGAAAGAAAACAUUUGCUUUUCACUGAAAUGUUAGAGAGGGAAAGGAAGGUGUGAGAAUAUCCUUUCAGACAUGUCACCAAGAGAGAAUGCACAGAAAAAGAAUGGAAGCAGCAGUUUGAACUGGACAAACGAGAUCUUGAUAAACGGAAAGAAGAUCUGAGACAAGACAGAGAAGAUCUGGAGAGAGAAAGUGAGGUGCUGAAUAAAGAGAAAAUGGAUUUGGAGCUGUUGAUGUCUGACAUGAAGAAACAAUUUGAAAUAUUGGAAGAAAAGAGACAAAAUGUAAAGAAGAGAGAGACUCAAUGGAAAUCAUGAAGCUUGAACUGCUCAAUAAGAUGGAACAUGUAAAAGGCUGUUAAAUGAGGCAAAUAAAGAAAAAGCCAAUAUUAAAGUUUGUAUCCUUCAGGUUCAAACGGAAAAAGAAAGACUUGAAGACAUUUUAAGCAAGAUUUUCUUAACACAUAGUGAACAAAAAGUCAAGGAAGAUGACCUCAGAAGACAAACAAAAGAACUGGAAAUGAAGAAGAAGCAAUUACAGAGUGAAAGAGAAAAAGUGGAGAGUCUGAUGAGGAAUCUCAACAAGAAGCAAGAAGAGCUUGAACGUGCAAAGGAAAUCAUGAGUGAAGAAAAAGAAGAGGUGAAACAGAUGAAGACUGACAUUGCCAAAGAACGAGAACUGUUGUUGAAGGAAAGGAGAAAUAUGGAAGAAGAGCGGUCUGAGAUGGAAAUGAGAGGAGACCAAGUCAUGGAUGAAAUGAAAUCACUAGAGAUUCUGAAAGUGAAACUUCAACAACUGAAGCAGCAUAUAAAAGCUAAAACGGACAGAUUACUACAAAAUGUUGACAACAGGUCCAUGCUGCAAACAGUGUUGGAAGAAAAACUUACAACUCAAGACAAACAGAAAGAAAACAUUUGCUAUUUCACUGAAAUGUUGGAGAGGGAAAGGGAAGGUGUGAGAACUAUCCUUUCAGACAUGAUCACCAAGAGAGAAUGCACAGAAAAAGAAUGGAAGCAGCAGUUUGAACUGGACAAACGAGAUCUUGAUAAACUGAAAGAAGAUCUGAGACAAGACAGAGAAGAUCUGGAGAGAGAAAGUGAGGUGCUGAAUAAAGAGAAAAUGGAUUUGAAGCUGUUGAUGUCUGACAUGAAGAAACAAUUUGAAAUAUUGGAAGAAAGAGACAAAAUGUAAAAGAAGAGAGAGACUCAAUGGAAAUCAUGAAGCUUGAACUGCUCAAUAAGAUGGAACAUGUAAAAAGGCUGUUAAAUGAGGCAAAUAAAGAAAAAGCCAAUAUUAAAGUUUGUAUCCUUCAGGUUCAAACGGAAAAAGAAAGACUUGAAGACAUUUUAAGCAAGAUUUUCUUAACACAUAGUGAACAAAAAGUCAAGGAAGAUGACCUCAGAAGACAAACAAAAGAACUGGAAAUGAAGAAGAAGCAAUUACAGAGUG
RNAcentral lists this long non-coding RNA (13169 nucleotides) under Oreochromis niloticus (Nile tilapia). RNAcentral describes it as "lncRNA (ENSONIG00000023676.2)". The record is from RNAcentral. Lineage: Eukaryota; Metazoa; Chordata; Actinopteri; Cichliformes; Cichlidae.